Long non-coding RNA from Toxorhynchites rutilus septentrionalis, 426 nucleotides. RefSeq lists it as uncharacterized. The record is from RefSeq and is a predicted model, not a curated record. Lineage: Eukaryota; Metazoa; Arthropoda; Insecta; Diptera; Culicidae. The transcript is spliced from 3 exons.
AAGCAAACAAGAUAGUCGAGUGAGCAGCAUUUAUUUCCAAAUUAUAUUAUACUUUAUUUACGGAGAAGUUUAUGAAAUUUACUAAAAAAGGAACGAAAAAAUCUUAAAGCGAUACAAACGUGAAGCAACGCGUUUUGCUUUUAAGGUCGUUCGAAAGAUUUGUAAACACUCCGUGUUUCCAACAGUCCUAUGUCACUCCGGUUAUGUCCCCGACAUUACCCACCCUUUUUUUGUGGGGUUAUGCGGAAGACCGUGUCUAUGCCAACUCUCCGCAAACUCUUGAACAUUUGAAAGACAACAUUCGUGAAGUUAUGACCGAGAUACCGUCCCAUAUGUGCCGAAAAGUCAUCGAAAUUUACCUGUUCCGGAUCAAGGUGUGCGAGGAAGCCCUAGGUGGACAUUUGAAUGAUGUUGUAUUUCACACAU